Molecule: transfer RNA, 72 nt
Filed under: Stereum hirsutum FP-91666 SS1
Lineage: Eukaryota; Fungi; Basidiomycota; Agaricomycetes; Russulales; Stereaceae
Description: tRNA-Arg (TCT) (tRNA-Arg-TCT-3-1)
Rfam family: tRNA
About the family: Transfer RNA (tRNA) molecules are approximately 80 nucleotides in length. Their secondary structure includes four short double-helical elements and three loops (D, anti-codon, and T loops).
Source: RNAcentral
AGCUCGGUAGCGCAAUGGUAGUGCAUCUGUCUUCUGAACGGAAAGUUCUCGGUUCAACUCCGAGUCGAGCUG